Molecule: ribosomal RNA, 1234 nt
Filed under: uncultured Gammaproteobacteria bacterium
Lineage: Bacteria; Pseudomonadati; Pseudomonadota; Gammaproteobacteria
Description: bacterial SSU rRNA
Rfam family: Bacterial small subunit ribosomal RNA
Source: RNAcentral
CUAAUACCGCAUAAMGUUGAGAGACCAAAGCAUGGGACCUACGGGCCAUGCGCCAUUUGAUGAACCCAUAUGGGAUUAGCUAGUUGGUGRGGUAAUGGCUCACCAAGGCGACGAUCUCUAGCUGGUCUGAGAGGAUGACCAGCCACACUGGAACUGAGACACGGUCCAGACUCCUACGGGAGGCAGCAGUGGGGAAUAUUGCACAAUGGGGGGAACCCUGAUGCAGCCAUGCCGCGUGUAUGAAGAAGGCCUUCGGGUUGUAAAGUACUUUCGGUGAUGAGGAAGGUGAUGAAUCUAAUAGGUUUAUUAAUUGACGUUAAUCACAGAAGAAGCACCGGCUAACUCCGUGCCAGCAGCCGCGGUAAUACGGAGGGUGCGAGCGUUAAUCGGAAUGACUGGGCGUAAAGGGCAUGUAGGCGGAUAAUUAAGUUAGGUGUGAAAGCCCUGGGCUCAACCUAGGAAUUGCACUUAAAACUGGUUAACUAGAGUAUUGUAGAGGAAGGUAGAAUUCCACGUGUAGCGGUGAAAUGCGUAGAGAUGUGGAGGAAUACCGGUGGCGAAGGCGGCCUUCUGGACAGAUACUGACGCUGAGAUGCGAAAGCGUGGGGAGCAAACAGGAUUAGAUACCCUGGUAGUCCACGCUGUAAACGAUGUCGAUUUGGAGUUUGUUGCCUAGAGUGAUGGGCUCCGAAGCUAACGCGAUAAAUCGACCGCCUGGGGAGUACGGCCGCAAGGUUAAAACUCAAAUGAAUUGACGGGGGCCCGCACAAGCGGUGGAGCAUGUGGUUUAAUUCGAUGCAACGCGAAGAACCUUACCUGGUCUUGACAUCCACAGAAUCUUGUAGAGAUACGAGAGUGCCUUCGGGAACUGUGAGACAGGUGCUGCAUGGCUGUCGUCAGCUCGUGUUGUGAAAUGUUGGGUUAAGUCCCGCAACGAGCGCAACCCUUAUCCUUUGUUGCCAUCGAUUAGGUCGGGAACUCAAAGGAGACUGCCGUUGAUAAAGCGGAGGAAGGUGGGGACGACGUCAAGUCAUCAUGGCCCUUACGACCAGGGCUACACACGUGCUACAAUGGCGUAUACAAAGGGAGGCGACCUCGCGAGAGUAAGCGGACCUCACAAAGUACGUCUAAGUCCGGAUUGGAGUCUGCAACUCGACUCCAUGAAGUCGGAAUCGCUAGUAAUCGUGAAUCAGAAUGUCACGGUGAAUACGUUCCCGGGCCUUGUACACACCGC